GAUGAACGCUGGCGGCGUGCCUAACGCAUGCAAGUCGAGCGGCAGCGAGGGGUGCUUGCACCCUGUCGGCGAGCGGCGGACGGCUGAGUAACGCGUGGGAACGUGCCCCAAAGUGAGGAAUAACUGCCCGAAAGGGUAGCUAAUACCGCAUAUUAUCUUCGGAUCAAAGGAUUUAUCCGCUUUGGGAGCGGCUCGCGUCGGAUUAGGUAGUUGGUGAGGUAAUGGCUCACCAAGCCGACGAUCCGUAGCUGGUCUGAGAGGAUGACCAGCCAGACUGGAACUGAGACACGGUCCAGACUCCUACGGGAGGCAGCAGUGAGGAAUCUUCCACAAUGGGCGAAAGCCUGAUGGAGCAACGCCGCGUGCACGACGAAGGCCUUCGGGUUGUAAACUGCUUUUAUAAGUGAGGAAUAUGACGGUAACUUAUGAAUAAGGAUCGGCUAACUACGU
Molecule: ribosomal RNA, 450 nt
Filed under: uncultured bacterium
Lineage: Bacteria
Description: partial 16S ribosomal RNA
Rfam family: Bacterial small subunit ribosomal RNA
Source: RNAcentral